This 1364-nucleotide long non-coding RNA is filed under the name Monodelphis domestica (gray short-tailed opossum). RNAcentral describes it as "lncRNA (ENSMODG00000048097.1)". The record is from RNAcentral. Lineage: Eukaryota; Metazoa; Chordata; Mammalia; Didelphimorphia; Didelphidae.
AUCUCAUCAAGGAAGCUCUGCAAUGUUCCCUGGGCAGAAUCAGGGCAAAAAAAUAUAAGGUGAGAAAAGCAUUAAUAUUUGGGAUCAGAAUACACAUGCACAUACAUGUAUAAACAUUGAUGGAAAGACUAUUAGAUUUGGAAUCAGAGAGUGUGUGUUCAAAUGUGAACAAUGCAUAUCUCUGUGACCUUGGAAAAUGCCUAACUUUCUGGGCUUUGUUUUCUUGAGAGAGGUUGGACUGGGUAAUUUCUAAGGUCAUUUUUAGCUUUAAAUAGUUUGAUAUGCUGAUACAAUGAAUAAAAUAUCUCAUGCUCCAAGGAAGAUUUUAUAUUAAAUAAAAAUAUUCAGGAGUUAUUCAGCUUAUAAAUGUUCAUCUCUUUCAUAUUUUUAAAUAAAGAAGAAAUGUUAAUGAGUACCCACCCAGGAGAACACCUUUAAAAUACUUUCCCUUAGAAUUCAGUUAUAUUAUAAGCAGUUUUGAGACUUGAGAGAAGAUGUUAAUGAAGAAUAAUAGAGUGAUGUGUUCUAUUCUUUCUCCAUUUCUCUCCAUCCCCCUCCCUUUUUUCCUAAAGCACAAAAGUUGCUUGGUGCUUUACUGACCUUUGAAAUUGUGUGAAACACAAAAAGUAAACAAAUCCCAAUUCUAUCAUUUCCAUUUCUUUUUUGUUUGUUUGUUUGUUUUUGAACUAUGGAAGAAGAGUGAUAACAAAGACUAUUUAUUACUUUAGAGCAAUUUCCAGUUCCUGGGUCCCCGGAUCCCUGAAGAGAUCUGAUGGGCUGCUCUUGGGGGGCAUCUGCAUGUAGCCCGUGCUUCAAGAGAAUUCAGCUUUUUAUUGUCAAUUUGAAUGAAAGGGAAUUACCUUUUCUGCCUCAGUGCUGUUGGAGAAGAAUCUCUGAUGUGUCUACUUGUGCCAUGUCAAAGUCAGCAUCUUCCAAGGAAUCCUGGUAGCUGUGGAAGAUUUUAAUUGAAGGCCUGAGCUUCUAGAUGAAGGAUAAGAGUUUAAAGAGCCAUUUUGAAAAAUGGGGCACACUUACAAAUUUCAUGGCCAUGAGGGCUCCAAAUAUCACAUAUUCCUAGGACUUCAGUUUUAUUCCCUAUGCCACAGUGGUAGAUGCAGCCAUGAAUGUAAAACCUCACAAAGUUGAUUGCAGAGUUGUUAAACCAAAGAGAGGACUCUCAAAAGCCACAUAUCCACAUAACUGAAAAAAAGAUCUUUGUGGAUGGCAUUAGGGAAGAUACUGAGGAGCAUCAAUUAAAAAGAUUACUUUGAACCAUAUAGAAAAAUUGAAGUGAUUGAAAUUGUGACUUGAAAUAGAGAUGUAAACUGAAUAAAUUGUUACUGCAUCAAUGACUGCUGUUCUCU